GACGAACGCUGGCGGCGUGCCUAAUACAUGCAAGUAGAACGCACAGUUUAUACCGUAGCUUGCUACACCAUAGACUGUGAGUUGCGAACGGGUGAGUAACGCGUAGGUAACCUGCCUGGUAGCGGGGGAUAACUAUUGGAAACGAUAGCUAAUACCGCAUAAUAUCAAUUAUUGCAUGAUAAUUAAUUGAAAGGUGCAAUUGCACCACUACCAGAUGGACCUGCGUUGUAUUAGCUAGUAGGUGAGGUAACGGCUCACCUAGGCGACGAUACAUAGCCGACCUGAGAGGGUGAUCGGCCACACUGGGACUGAGACACGGCCCAGACUCCUACGGGAGGCAGCAGUAGGGAAUCUUCGGCAAUGGACGAAAGUCUGACCGAGCAACGCCGCGUGAGUGAAGAAGGUUUUCGGAUCGUAAAGCUCUGUUGUAAGAGAAGAACGGGUGUGAGAGUGGAAAGUUCACACUGUGACGGUAUCUUACCAGAAAGGGACGGCUAACUACGUG
RNAcentral lists this ribosomal RNA (505 nucleotides) under uncultured bacterium. RNAcentral describes it as "partial 16S ribosomal RNA". It matches the Rfam family "Bacterial small subunit ribosomal RNA", at positions 28 to 507 of the family's 1533-position model. The record is from RNAcentral.